ACACGACUAGUGUGGCCUUGGGUGCCC
RNAcentral lists this non-coding RNA (27 nucleotides) under Homo sapiens (human). The record is from RNAcentral. Lineage: Eukaryota; Metazoa; Chordata; Mammalia; Primates; Hominidae.